This 497-nucleotide ribosomal RNA is filed under the name uncultured bacterium. RNAcentral describes it as "partial 16S ribosomal RNA". It matches the Rfam family "Bacterial small subunit ribosomal RNA", at positions 28 to 507 of the family's 1533-position model. The record is from RNAcentral.
GAUGAACGCUGGCGGCGUGCCUAAUACAUGCAAGUCGAGCGAACGGACGAGAAGCUUGCUUCUCUGAUGUUAGCGGCGGACGGGUGAGUAACACGUGGAUAACCUACCUAUAAGACUGGGAUAACUUCGGGAAACCGGAGCUAAUACCGGAUAAUAUUUUGAACCGCAUGGUUCAAAGGUGAAAGACGGUCUUGCUGUCACUUAUAGAUGGAUCCGCGCUGCAUUAGCUAGUUGGUAAGGUAACGGCUUACCAAGGCAACGAUGCAUAGCCGACCUGAGAGGGUGAUCGGCGACACUGGAACUGAGACACGGUCCAGACUCCUACGGGAGGCAGCAGUAGGGAAUCUUCCGCAAUGGGCGAAAGCCUGACGGAGCAACGCCGCGUGAGUGAUGAAGGUCUUCGGAUCGUAAAACUCUGUUAUUAGGGAAGAACAUAUGUGUAAGUAACUGUGCACAUCUUGACGGUACCUAAUCAGAAAGCCACGGCUAACUACGUG